RNAcentral lists this long non-coding RNA (555 nucleotides) under Rattus norvegicus (Norway rat). Its description in RNAcentral is "long non-coding RNA NONRATT001490". The record is from RNAcentral. Lineage: Eukaryota; Metazoa; Chordata; Mammalia; Rodentia; Muridae.
AAGAUUUUUGCAAUUCUAUUGUCUGAGCAAAUGUCACGGACUGAGCCAAGAAGUGCUGACAGACACGCAGCUCUAUCUACCCAUCCGUACUGAGACACAGGACUCGGCCGUAGGUGGGCAGACAGAUGCACCUCCACGUGGCACGGAAACCACAGCUUUCCUCAGAGCUUCUAAGAAGCUCCGUGAGUGGGGCCGCAGUGCUCAGCAUCGGAAGGAAAAGCUGGACUUUUUCUCUUUUAACUGACUAUGGUAUUGUUGAGAGACUAUCCCGGAGAACGCCAUAUAUCUGGAAAGGAACAGCAUGGAAAAGACCAGGGAAGAGAUUUCAGGACACUGUCUCCAUAGCAAAAAGUCUUUUCCUCCCCUGGCUCUUUUGUGAGGAAGCUGAAAACCUUUCAUUGAGUUGUCACCCGUGAGCAGCCAGAAGGACGGCUGCUUGGGGGAGGGGGGCGCUCCGUGGCUUCUGCUUCUCUCUGACAGCCCUGAAUGGAGCUCGAGGUGUAUACAAAUGUUGUACAGGUAGUAUAGUAUCAAUCUGGUUCAGGAAAAAAAAAA